This 547-nucleotide ribosomal RNA is filed under the name uncultured bacterium. RNAcentral describes it as "bacterial SSU rRNA". It matches the Rfam family "Bacterial small subunit ribosomal RNA", at positions 746 to 1296 of the family's 1533-position model. The record is from RNAcentral.
CUGAGGAGCGAGAGCUAGGGGAGCGAACAGGAUUAGAUACCCUGGUAGUCCUAGCCGUAAACGAUGACCACUAGGCGUGGGAGGUAUCGACCCCUUCCGUGCCGUCGGUAACCCGCUAAGUGGUCCGCCUGGGGAGUACGGUCGCAAGAUUAAAACUCAAAGGAAUUGACGGGGACCCGCACAAGCAGCGGAGCGUGUGGUUUAAUUCGAAGCAACGCGAAGCACCUUACCAGGGCUUGACAUGCUCGUGAUCGCACGGGAAACCGUGUUCUCUUCGGGGCAGGAUCACAGGUGGUGCAUGGCUGUCGUCAGCUCGUGUCGUGAGAUGUUGGGUUAAGUCCCGCAACGAGCGCAACCCCCGUCGCAUGUUGCCAGCAUUUAGUUGGGGACUCAUGCGAGACUGCCGGUGACAAACCGGAGGAAGGUGGGGAUGACGUCAAGUCAUCAUGCCCCUUAUGUCCAGGGCUACACACGUGCUACAUUGGCGCGUACAGAGGGCUGCGAUACCGCGAGGUGGAGCGAUCCCUCAAAGCGCGUCUCGGUUCGG